Molecule: non-coding RNA, 130 nt
Filed under: Streptomonospora alba
Lineage: Bacteria; Bacillati; Actinomycetota; Actinomycetes; Streptosporangiales; Nocardiopsidaceae
Source: RNAcentral
CAGGAACCCGGUGCGAAUCCGGGACGGUCCCGCCACUGUGGCCAGGGAGCGGCCCGCAACGAGCGCCACUGCCGGAUGUCCUCCGGUGGGAAGGCGGCGGGCGAGCGGUGAUCUGGAAGUCAGGAGACUG